CUCUCGGCAACGGAUAUCUCGGCUCUCGCAUCGAUGAAGAACGUAGCGAAAUGCGAUACUUGGUGUGAAUUGCAGAAUCCCGUGAACCAUCGAGUCUUUGAACGCAAGUUGCGCCUGAGGCCACUCGGCCGAGGGCACGCCUGCCUGGGCGUCACGCCACCCAU
This 164-nucleotide ribosomal RNA is filed under the name Alseodaphnopsis andersonii. RNAcentral's name for it is "5.8S ribosomal RNA". It matches the Rfam family "5.8S ribosomal RNA". Rfam says of the family: 5.8S ribosomal RNA (5.8S rRNA) is a component of the large subunit of the eukaryotic ribosome. It is transcribed by RNA polymerase I as part of the 45S precursor that also contains 18S and 28S rRNA. Lineage: Eukaryota; Viridiplantae; Streptophyta; Magnoliopsida; Laurales; Lauraceae. The record is from RNAcentral.